RNAcentral lists this ribosomal RNA (265 nucleotides) under Acinetobacter baumannii. RNAcentral describes it as "partial 23S ribosomal RNA". It matches the Rfam family "Bacterial large subunit ribosomal RNA", at positions 2369 to 2633 of the family's 2925-position model. The record is from RNAcentral. Lineage: Bacteria; Pseudomonadati; Pseudomonadota; Gammaproteobacteria; Moraxellales; Moraxellaceae.
UUGACUGUGAGACAGACAAGUCGAACAGGGACGAAAGUCGGGAAUAGUGAUCCGGCGGUGCCGAAUGGAAGGGCCAUCGCUCAACGGAUAAAAGCUACCCUGGGGAUAACAGGCUUAUCUCCCCCAAGAGUUCACAUCGACGGGGAGGUUUGGCACCGCGUUGUCGGCUCGUCGCAUCCUGGGGCUGUAGUCGGUCCCAAGGGUUGGGCUGUUCGCCCAUUAAAGCGGUACGCGAGCUGGGUUCAGAACGUCGUGAGACAGUUCG